GUAAUACUCCCUCCGUCCAGAAAUACUUGUCGUAGAAAUGGAUACAAAUGGAUGUAUCUAGAACUAAAAUACAUCUAGAUACAUCCAUUCCUUCGAUAAAUAUUUCCGUACAAAGGAAGUAUAUG
Molecule: non-coding RNA, 125 nt
Organism: Triticum aestivum (bread wheat)
Lineage: Eukaryota; Viridiplantae; Streptophyta; Magnoliopsida; Poales; Poaceae
Source: Rfam